AUACGUAGGGGGCAAGCGUUAUCCGGAAUUAUUGGGCGUAAAGAGGGAGCAGGCGGCAGCAAGGGUCUGUGGUGAAAGCCUGAAGCUUAACUUCAGUAAGCCAUAGAAACCAGGCAGCUAGAGUGCAGGAGAGGAUCGUGGAAUUCCAUGUGUAGCGGUGAAAUGCGUAGAUAUAUGGAGGAACACCAGUGGCGAAGGCGACGAUCUGGCCUGCAACUGACGCUCAGUCCCGAAAGCGUGGGGAGCAAAUAGGAUUAGAUACCCUAGUAGUCCACGCCGUAAACGAUGAGUACUAAGUGUUGGAUGUCAAAGUUCAGUGCUGCAGUUAACGCAAUAAGUACUCCGCCUGAGUAGUACGUUCGCAAGAAUGAAACUCAAAUGAAUUGACGGGG
Molecule: ribosomal RNA, 392 nt
Filed under: uncultured bacterium
Lineage: Bacteria
Description: partial 16S ribosomal RNA
Rfam family: Bacterial small subunit ribosomal RNA
Source: RNAcentral